GGGGGUGUAGCUCAGUGGUAGAGCGCUCGCUUAGCAUGCGAGAGGGCCCGGGAUCGAUGCCCGGCACCUCCA
Schistosoma mansoni is the source of this 72-nucleotide non-coding RNA. NCBI's taxonomy places the organism in Eukaryota, Metazoa, Platyhelminthes, Trematoda, Strigeidida, Schistosomatidae. The record is from Rfam.